RNAcentral lists this ribosomal RNA (489 nucleotides) under uncultured bacterium. RNAcentral's name for it is "partial 16S ribosomal RNA". It matches the Rfam family "Bacterial small subunit ribosomal RNA", at positions 30 to 507 of the family's 1533-position model. The record is from RNAcentral.
AUUGAACGCUGGCGGCAGGCCUAACACAUGCAAGUCGAACGGUAACAGGAAGCAGCUUGCUGCUUCGCUGACGAGUGGCGGACGGGUGAGUAAUGUCUGGGAAGCUGCCUGAUGGAGGGGGAUAACUACUGGAAACGGUAGCUAAUACCGCAUAAUGUCGCAAGACCAAAGGGGGGACCUUCGGGCCUCUUGCCAUCGGGUGUGCCCAGAUGGGAUUAGCUUGGUGGUGGGGUAACGGCUCACCAAGGCGACGAUCCCUAACUGGUCUGAGAGGAUGACCAGCCACACUGGAACUGAGACACGGUCCAGACUCCUACGGGAGGCAGCAGUGGGGAAUAUUGCACAAUGGGCGCAAGCCUGAUGCAGCCAUGCCGCGUGUAUGAAGAAGGCCUUCGGGUUGUAAAGUACUUUCAGCGGGGAGGAAGGGAGUAAAGUUAAUACCUUUGCUCAUUGACGUUACCCGCAGAAGAAGCACCGGCUAACUCCGUG